RNAcentral lists this long non-coding RNA (759 nucleotides) under Cricetulus griseus (Chinese hamster). RNAcentral's name for it is "lncRNA (ENSCGRG00000026353.1)". Lineage: Eukaryota; Metazoa; Chordata; Mammalia; Rodentia; Cricetidae. The record is from RNAcentral.
GCGCCUCACCCCACCCCCAGCCUGAGUUCCUCAGGGUCUGUCCCAUGGAGAAGAUAAAGGAUUCUGUCAGGAGUGGUGACCUCACAGCAGGCAGGAGUCACAAAACCCCAUCCUUUCCUUUCUCCCCACAGCUGCUCACUGCUCAAAGAAAACAUGUGUUGCCUGAAGCUGGAGACUUGCUCUUUUCCGCAACAACAUAAUGUCAGAGAACGAUGAUGAUCCGGCAAUGGGUCAGUUUUUGUUAAGAAAGGAAUUCUUGUGCCUUUUGAAGCCAAACCUUCAAAAAAGUUGCCUGUGCUGCUUCCUCGGAUGUGGAUAAGAGGUGCCAGCAGGGGGCGCCCUCUUACAAGGCACUCACUAAGCAGCUCCGCUGCGGCGCCUUUUCCUUUCGUGGUCAGCUUCGAUGACGUCACCGUAGCGGGGCAGUCCUCUUGCUCCGGAUACACACAAGCACAAAGAAGCACAAACCUGCUCGGUACCGCGAAACUUUCGCUUCCUUCCUGUGUCUUGUCACUCUUCAUAGAAACUCAAGUCAGAAUUACAAGGGAAGCGAACACCUGCACGGAUGGGCGGGACGUGGAGGCAGGGAAACACGGCGGCAGGGGAAUAAGUGGAUUCGAUAGGGAGAAGAGCUGGUGGAGAGGAGAGGCGCCAGGACCAGGCUGUUUGUUCCUGAAAACAUCUAUCAAACUGGGGUUAACAAAAACAAUCCUUUUUGUGGGCAUGAGAGCACCUUCGGAUGGUCACACUGUUGCCUAA